GCAGCGCGCGGGCGUGGGGCCCGUGGGGACCGGGAGGGAGCAGGGCCGCGGCGGACGGCGCGGGAGGGGCUCGGCGAGGGGACUGGAGAGCCGGGCCCAGCCGCACCUUGGCUUCCGCGGAGUGAGCCUGCCAUGGCCCCGCCGGAGAAGGGCGACGGGUCCCGAGCUUGCCCAGACCCAGAGCCUUAGGUUGGGAAAGUGGCUGCGAGGCCCAUUCCCGGUUUAAUUCCUGCCCUAGCGAAGUUUCCUUGGGAUGGGGUGAAUGGGGCGUCCCCUGCCUUGGGCUUCUGCUAACUGUUGGGCGGUUGCGGAAGUGUCUGCACUUGGGGCAAGCGCCCGGCUUCGACAGCGGACGCUGUGCCCCAGGGGACAUCGGCGUCCCCAGGGCAUGGCCUACGGGGUGCUGGGUCGGCAGCUAUUCCGAGAAAGUCAGGACUUGGCACGUGAAGCGGAGGGCGUUGCUGUAGUGGAACAGGAAAGGCCGUGAAAACAGAAAGUAAGAAGACGUCAUGAAGCUUCAGGUUGAUCUCAAGCCCGUUUCCAAAUCCCAAAUCUGGGUUUCCCAAGAGGAGUUUGUUUCCAUUCCUUACGGGGCGUCUUUAUUCGUGCCUCUGUCUUCAGUUGCCUGGCAGCAGGCUUGUUUACAUGAUCCGACCCUGCAACACCGGACAGCUCCGGUUUGCAGAAGUAAAUCAGCGAAUUGUCUGGAGUUGGAGAUCAGAAUCUGCUGUUCGCAUCCCGGUUGUGACGUCGUGUCCGGUGAGGGGCAGAGCCACAGCCCAUGGCUGGCAAUUGAUGGCCUGAAGAAAGGCCACACUGGCCGAGCAGGGUGUCUCCUGCCUGUAAUCCCCGCACUUUAGGAGGCAGAGGGGGUGGAUCACUUGAGGCCAGGAGUUCGAGACCAGCCCGGACAAUUUGGCGAAUCCCCCACUCUACUAAAAAUGAAAAAAUUAGCCGAGCUUGGUGGCACUUGCCUGUGGUCCCAGCUACUUGGGAGGCUAAGCCUCCUUAUGCUGUUAGGAAUGAAGAAAAGUGAACUGAAGCUGACCCAGCCAGGAGGCCAGGUUUUCUGCUUCUCAGGUUUACUGAGGCUCUGCUUUACCUACAGAGUGUUUGGGAAUAAAGAGAAGACUGGAAA
Molecule: non-coding RNA, 1138 nt
Organism: Callithrix jacchus (white-tufted-ear marmoset)
Lineage: Eukaryota; Metazoa; Chordata; Mammalia; Primates; Cebidae
Source: RefSeq, a predicted model, not a curated record